GCCAGAGAAAGGUGAAUUCACAUCAUUCGUAAUGAUGGGGUCACGUGUUCGAGUCACGUAAGCGGCACCA
Molecule: transfer RNA, 70 nt
Filed under: Ensifer meliloti
Lineage: Bacteria; Pseudomonadati; Pseudomonadota; Alphaproteobacteria; Hyphomicrobiales; Rhizobiaceae
Also listed under: 2 other names
Description: Sinorhizobium meliloti tRNA-Thr
Rfam family: tRNA
About the family: Transfer RNA (tRNA) molecules are approximately 80 nucleotides in length.
Source: RNAcentral